Triticum aestivum (bread wheat) is the source of this 135-nucleotide non-coding RNA. NCBI's taxonomy places the organism in Eukaryota, Viridiplantae, Streptophyta, Magnoliopsida, Poales, Poaceae. The record is from Rfam.
CUUGUACUCCCUCCAUCCGAAAAAACUUGUCACCAAAAUGAACAAAAAGGGGUGUAUCUAGAACUAAAAUACAUCUAGAUACAUCCCCUUUUACUCAUUUUGAUGAUAAGUAUUUCCGGACGGAGGGAGUACUCA